This 780-nucleotide ribosomal RNA is filed under the name uncultured bacterium. RNAcentral's name for it is "bacterial SSU rRNA". It matches the Rfam family "Bacterial small subunit ribosomal RNA", at positions 8 to 796 of the family's 1533-position model. The record is from RNAcentral.
AGAGUUUGAUCAUGGCUCAGGAUGAACGCUGGCGGCGUGCUUAACACAUGCAAGUCGAACGGGAUCCUGCAAGCUUGCUUGCGGGUGAGAGUGGCGAACGGGUGAGUAAUGCGUGACCAACCUGCCCCAUGCUCCGGAAUAGCUCCUGGAAACGGGUGGUAAUGCCGGAUGCUCCCGCGCCCCGCAUGGGGUGUGGGGAAAGCUUUCGUGGCAUGGGAUGGGGUCGCGUCCUAUCAGCUUGUUGGCGGGGUGAGGGCCCACCAAGGCGUUGACGGGUAGCCGGCCUGAGAGGGCGACCGGCCACAUUGGGACUGAGAUACGGCCCAGACUCCUACGGGAGGCAGCAGUGGGGAAUAUUGCACAAUGGGCGCAAGCCUGAUGCAGCGACGCCGCGUGCGGGAUGGAGGCCUUCGGGUUGUAAACCGCUUUUGUUUGGGAGCAAGCCCUUCGGGGUGAGUGUACCUUUCGAAUAAGCACCGGCUAACUUCGUGCCAGCAGCCGCGGUAAUACGUAGGGUGCGAGCGUUAUCCGGAAUUAUUGGGCGUAAAGGGCUCGUAGGCGGUUCGUCGCGUCCGGUGUGAAAGUCCAUCGCUUAACGGUGGAUCCGCGUCGGGUACGGGCGGGCUGGAGUGCGGUAGGGGAGACUGGAAUUCCCGGUGUAACGGUGGAAUGUGUAGAUAUCGGGAAGAACACCAAUGGCGAAGGCAGGUCUCUGGGCCGUUACUGACGCUGAGGAGCGAAAGCGUGGGGAGCGAACAGGAUUAGAUACCCUGGUAGUCC